ACGGAGGGUGCAAGCGUUGUUCGGAAUCAUUGGGCGUAAAGCGCGCGCAGGCGGUUUGCCAAGUCUGAUGUGAAAGCCCGGGGCUCAACCUCGGAACUGCAUUGGAAACUGGUAGACUUGAGUAUGAGAGGGGUUUGUGGAAUUCCUGGUGUAGGGGUGAAAUCCGUAGAGAUCAGGAGGAACACCGGUGGCGAAGGCGACAAACUGGAUCAUUACUGACGCUGAGGUGCGAAAGCGUGGGGAGCAAACAGG
RNAcentral lists this ribosomal RNA (252 nucleotides) under uncultured bacterium. RNAcentral's name for it is "partial 16S ribosomal RNA". It matches the Rfam family "Bacterial small subunit ribosomal RNA", at positions 525 to 776 of the family's 1533-position model. The record is from RNAcentral.